Molecule: ribosomal RNA, 945 nt
Filed under: Triticum aestivum (bread wheat)
Lineage: Eukaryota; Viridiplantae; Streptophyta; Magnoliopsida; Poales; Poaceae
Description: partial small subunit ribosomal RNA
Source: RNAcentral
AUGAAUCAUUGUGAUAUUCCUUGGGUUAAUUUAGUUUGGGAAGCUUACUAUUCCAAUGGACCACCUUCUGCACAUCUGAACAGUUGUUCUUUCUGGUGGCGAGACUGUUUGAAGCUUCUCCCAAUCUACAAAGAUUAUGCUGUCAGCAUUGUUCAAAAUGGGCAAUCUCUGCACUUCUGGUCAGAUAAUUGGAAUGGCGAGCAAAAAGCUUCUACCUGGCCUCACCUGUUCUCCUUUGCUAAGAACCAGCAACUCUCCAUUUUAGAUAUCUGGCAAACAGAUGAUUUGGCCGAACAUUUUCACUUACCUUUUUCAGAAGAAGCCUAUGAACAAUUUCAGGCAUUGGAGCAAUUCUUGCAGGAUUUAACUUUAACUACAGAAUAUGAUCAGUGGCAACUACCAGUCAAUGCAAAUAGUUACAAAGUCUCCACAAUCUACAAACUACUAUCUCCUACACCGGACAUUUUGCCAGCACUGAGAUGGCUCUGGAAAAUAUGUUGCCAGCUUAAGCAUAAGAUAUUCUACUGGCUGCUCAUCAACAACAGAUUGAACAGAAGAGCUCUCCUUCAGCGUAAGAAUUUCUUUAUUGAAAACUACACUUGUGUUAUGUGUAACAUGCAGGUUUUGGAGACAAGGGAUCACCUCUUCUUUUAUUGCCCCUUCGCACAACUCUGUUGGGCUUAUAUAUGCCCAACCUGGACGCCAAUAUACACGGGUAUUCAAGAAGAAAUAAACAACUUAAAGCAGCUGCUGGGCGUGCCAUUUUUCCUAGAGAUCAUUAUUCUUGUCAAUUGGACAACAAGGAAUGGCUACAUCUUCCAGCGAACGCCACCCAGUAUAUACAACUGUAGACGAAAGUUCAAGGAGGAGCUUAAAUGGAUCAGCUACAGGGCGACAAGGCAGGCAUACAGUGGAUUCAGGGACUGGAUUCAGUCCUUCUGUUAG